GACGAACGCUGGCGGCGUGCUUAACACAUGCAAGUCGAACGAAGUGGCGAACGGGUGAGUAACGCGUAAUCAACCUGCCCUUCAGAGGGGGACAACAGUUGGAAACGACUGCUAAUACCGCAUACUGAAGGAGGGGAUUGCGUCUGAUUAGCUAGUUGGAGGGGUAACGGCCCACCAAGGCGGGGACGGGUAGCCGGCCGGAGAGGGUGACGGGCCACAUGGGGACGGAGAUACGGCCCAGACUCCUACGGGAGGCAGCAGGGGGGAUAUUGCACAAUGGGCGAAAGCCUGAUGCAGCGACGCCGCGUGGGGGAUGAAGGCUUUCGGGUUGUAAACCUCUUUCGCUAUCGAACGGGUAGGUGGAGAAGAAGCGCCGGCUAACUACGUGCCAGCAGCCGCGGUAAUUC
RNAcentral lists this ribosomal RNA (407 nucleotides) under uncultured bacterium. Its description in RNAcentral is "partial 16S ribosomal RNA". It matches the Rfam family "Bacterial small subunit ribosomal RNA", at positions 28 to 526 of the family's 1533-position model. The record is from RNAcentral.